CCUACGGGGGGCUGCAGUGGGGAAUAUUGGACAAUGGGCGAAAGCCUGAUCCAGCCAUGCCGCGUGUGUGAAGAAGGCCUUCGGGUUGUAAAGCACUUUCAGUGGGGAAGAAAGCCUUGGGGCUAAUACCCUCGAGGAAGGACAUCACCCACAGAAGAAGCACCGGCUAACUCCGUGCCAGCAGCCGCGGUAAUACGGAGGGUGCGAGCGUUAAUCUGAAUUACUGGGCGUAAAGCGCGCGUAGGCGGUCUGAUAAGCCGGUUGUGAAAGCCCCGGGCUCAACCUGGGAACGGCAUCCGGAACUGUCAGGCUAGAGUGCAGGAGAGGAAGGUAGAAUUCCCGGUGUAGCGGUGAAAUGCGUAGAGAUCGGGAGGAAUACCAGUGGCGAAGGCGGCCUUCUGGACUGACACUGACGCUGAGGUGCGAAAGCGUGGGUAGCAAACAGGAUUAGAUACCCCUGUAGUC
Molecule: ribosomal RNA, 465 nt
Filed under: Vreelandella stevensii
Lineage: Bacteria; Pseudomonadati; Pseudomonadota; Gammaproteobacteria; Oceanospirillales; Halomonadaceae
Description: partial 16S ribosomal RNA
Rfam family: Bacterial small subunit ribosomal RNA
Source: RNAcentral